UUAAUCUUCGAUCUUUCUGCAAAUAUCCGGUACAGAUAUGUCUUUGAACUGUCACUGCAAACUACCACUACAAGGUGCUGCAAAGCGCUCUAAACCCAAAACCCAAGCUCUUCCUUUUUAUUUCCUAUUUCCUCUUCAAAUUCAAAACCCAGGUCAAUGUGGUAUGCAGUCUCCUUUUCACACUCUAGCAUAUUCUAUCCAAGACGCCCUUGGAGUGUUCAUUUUCUGCAGAAGCAGAAGCAAUCGAUUUCGACUAGUUGUCGCAUAAGUGCUUCAUUGCCAGACCAUAACAAUGGUGUUAAAGCGGAAUACACUCCUUGGUUGAUCGUUGGGUUGGGUAACCCUGGAAAUAAGUACCAUGGCACUAGACACAAUGUUGGAUUUGAAAUGAUUGACAGUAUUUCUCAAUCACAAGGCAUUGUCAUGAAUACAAUCCAAUCAAAAGCCUUGAUUGGAAUAGGUUCCAUUGAGGAGGUGCCUAUUUUGCUUGUUAAGCCUCAAUCAUACAUGAAUUUUAGUGGGGAAUCGGUUGGACCACUUGCUGCAUACUAUCAAGUACCCCUACGCCAUAUUUUAUUGAUUUAUGAUGAAAUGAGCUUACCAAAUGGUGUUCUGAGACUUCAACCAAAAGGAGGACAUGGCCAUCACAAUGGAGUGAAGAGUGUAAUGGGCCAUUUGGAUGGUCGUCGCGAGUUUCCUCGGUUAUGUAUAGGUAUUGGGAAUCCACCUGGCACUAUGGACAUGAAAGCUUUUCUUCUACAGAAGUUCAGCACGGUAGAAAGACAUCAGAUUGAUGCAGCACUGGAACAAGGGGUUGAGGCUGUGAGGACCCUGGUACUGAAUGGAUUUAGCAACAGCGUUACUCGAUUUAAUUUGGGGCAGAAAUACAAGUAUCACAAAGUUUAAUAGACAAACGAUAAGUGGCAAGUAUAUGAGCUGCCGCUAAUACGAUAUGUAGCUUCUUAGCUGGAGGAGAAUUUUCCUGUAACCUUCCGGAUUAGAAUUCCUAUUGUCAUUAGGAUCUAUUGUGGCUUGAGCCCACAAUUCUCCUCGGAUCGAUCAGUGACAUUUGCCAUUGGAUUGUCCUUUGAGACAUUGAAGUUCAUCACCUGAUUUCAUCAUCAAGCUAGGUUGAAGGUAUUCAAGGAGGCCAAAGAAAAAAAAAAAAAAAAAUCACCAUAAAAUACAGAGGAAUACUACAUAACCAUAAGCGUUUCCUAUAGCAAUGCAGUGAAACAUUAUGGAAAUGGAGAUAUCAUAAACAUUGAUAGCAAUUAUAGAAAGGUCUAAAUAUGUUUUAGAAGUUUAUAAAUUCAUGGAUUAAGUUUUAAAUCCGA
RNA transcript from Ziziphus jujuba (common jujube), 1337 nucleotides. It is a transcript of the gene named chloroplastic group IIB intron splicing facilitator CRS2-B, chloroplastic, with no coding region annotated. NCBI's taxonomy places the organism in Eukaryota, Viridiplantae, Streptophyta, Magnoliopsida, Rosales, Rhamnaceae. The record is from RefSeq and is a predicted model, not a curated record. The transcript is spliced from 10 exons.